CCACCACUCACCCCCACUCCCCCCAUGUUCGUCCCUCCCUGAUCCAGAUCAGGAUCGGGGGAAGGGACUGCAUCGCUGCACGCACCCGUCGCCUACUCCGGUGCCCACCGUGCCCUCUCCUCCUCUCGCGGCCGCGCGGCCGCGCCACCGCCGCCGCGCCCGCGCCCGGGGAUCCGCCACCUCCCGCCGUCCUCGCACCAUCGCCUCGCAUGAGCUCCUCCCAUGGCCACCGCCUAGUUGUGUCGCGCCAAGUCGCCCCUCACCGGAGAUGGACGGAUCCCGGAGGCCCCGUCGCGGGUCCGGCCUCCCUCGCCUUCUUCCCGCUCACCGGAGCCCCCCUCGUCACCCGCCGCCGUCGACGGAACCUCCCCGACCUCCUCCUCACGGGUCGCCGCCACGCCUCGCCGCCCCCGCUCCCCGCCAACGGCUACACCGAGACCGACACCGCUGCUACCCAGUACGACUAUGUUGUUGACGACCCCUCUCUCUUGGCAGAGCAACCAGACGAUGGAGCCCAGGAGCCAGACGCCACUAUCGAUGAUGACUACUACUACUCGGGAGGUGCCUACUACUACGUGCAGCCCGCUGACGACGACCAGGAGUAGCUUAGGAGGAUCCCAGGCAGGAGGCCUACGCCUCUUUCGAUCAGUAUCCCAGUUUGUGCUAGCCUUCUUAAGGCAAACUUGUUUGACUUAUGUCUGUACUCAGAUAUUGUUGCUUCCGCUGACUCGUCUAUGAUCGAGCUCUUGUAUUCGAGCCCUCGAGGCCCCUGGCUUGUAAUAUGAUGCUUGUAUGACUUAUUUUAUUUGUAGAGUUGUGUUGCGAUAUCUUCC
This 833-nucleotide ribosomal RNA is filed under the name Triticum aestivum (bread wheat). RNAcentral's name for it is "partial small subunit ribosomal RNA". The record is from RNAcentral. Lineage: Eukaryota; Viridiplantae; Streptophyta; Magnoliopsida; Poales; Poaceae.